GUAGGUGGCAAGCGUUGUCCGGAAUUAUUGGGCGUAAAGCGCGCGCAGGCGGUCUUUUAAGUCUGAUGUGAAAGCCCACGGCUCAACCGUGGAGGGUCAUUGGAAACUGGGGGACUUGAGUACAGAAGAGGAAAGCGGAAUUCCAAGUGUAGCGGUGAAAUGCGUAGAGAUUUGGAGGAACACCAGUGGCGAAGGCGGCUUUCUGGUCUGUAACUGACGCUGAGGCGCGAAAGCGUGGGGAGCAAACAGGGAUUAGAUACCCUGGUAGUCCACGCCGUAAACGAUGAGUGCUAAGUGUUAGGGGGUUUCCCGCCCCUUAGUGCUGCAGCUAACGCAUUAAGCACUCCGCCUGGGGAUACGGCCGCAAGGCUG
This 372-nucleotide ribosomal RNA is filed under the name uncultured organism. RNAcentral's name for it is "partial 16S ribosomal RNA". It matches the Rfam family "Bacterial small subunit ribosomal RNA", at positions 527 to 896 of the family's 1533-position model. The record is from RNAcentral.